RNA transcript from Papaver somniferum (opium poppy), 1877 nucleotides. It is a transcript of the gene named ruvB-like 2, with no coding region annotated. The transcript has 3 exons. Lineage: Eukaryota; Viridiplantae; Streptophyta; Magnoliopsida; Ranunculales; Papaveraceae. The record is from RefSeq and is a predicted model, not a curated record.
UAAAUCCGAAAACCCCUAAUUUCAUUCCAAAACUCUCGUCUUCUUCUUUCUCUCUCUCUUCUCUGCUGCUGCAACAAUGGCGGAACUAAAACUAUCAGAAAGUCGAGACCUUACUCGAAUCGAACGUAUAGGAGCACACUCUCACAUUCGAGGGCUUGGUUUAGAUUCUGCCCUAGAACCUCGAGAUGUAUCAGAAGGCAUGGUAGGUCAAGCUCCUGCUCGCAAAGCAGCUGGAGUCAUUCUUCAGAUGAUUAAAGAAGGUAAAAUCGCUGGUAGAGCUGUUCUUUUAGCUGGUCAACCCGGAACAGGUAAAACUGCAAUCGCUAUGGGUAUGGCUAAAUCUUUAGGUCAAGAAACCCCUUUUGCUAUGAUGGCUGGUAGUGAACUUUUCUCAUUGGAAAUGUCAAAGACUGAAGCCCUAAUGCAAGCUUUUCGUAAGUCUAUUGGUGUUAGAAUUAAGGAAGAAACUGAAGUAAUUGAAGCUGAAGUUGUUGAAGUUCAGAUUGAUAGACCUGCUGUUGCUGGUGCUGCAUCAAAAACUGGGAAGAUGACUUUAAAAACUACUGAUAUGGAAACAGUUUAUGAUUUGGGUGCAAAGAUGAUUGAAGCUCUUGGUAAACAGAAAGUUCAGAGUGGUGAUGUUAUUGCUAUUGAUAAGAGUUCUGGAAAAAUUACUAAACUUGGGAGAUCUUUUGCUAGGUCUAGAGAUUAUGAUGCUAUGGGUCCUCAAACUAAGUUUGUUCAGUGUCCAGAAGGGGAGUUGCAGAAGAGAAAAGAAGUUGUUCAUUGUGUUACUCUUCAUGAAAUUGAUGUUAUUAACAGCAGGACACAGGGAUUCUUAGCUCUCUUCACUGGUGAUACAGGUGAAAUCCGUGCGGAAGUGAGAGAACAGAUUGACACAAAAGUGGCGGAAUGGAGAGAGGAAGGGAAGGCAGAGAUUGUGCCUGGUGUCUUGUUUAUUGAUGAGGUUCACAUGCUUGACAUUGAAUGUUUCUCUUUUCUGAAUCGUGCUUUAGAAAAUGAUAUGGCACCUAUCUUAGUGGUUGCCACCAAUAGAGGAAUCACAAAUAUCCGAGGUACAAACUACAAAUCCCCACACGGGAUCCCGAUCGACCUCCUUGACCGUUUGCUUAUCAUCUCAACACAACCCUACAGUGAGGAUGAGAUCCGUAAGAUCCUCGACAUUAGGUCCCAAGAGGAAGAUGUUGAAAUGUCUGAUGAUGCAAAGGUUUUGCUAACAAAAAUUGGGGUAGAAGCAUCUUUAAGGUAUGCGAUCCACCUCAUAACAGCUGCGUCAUUGGCUUGCCAAAAGAGGAAGGGAAAGGUUGUUGAGAUGGAGGAUAUCAGCAGAGUGUACCAGUUGUUUCUGGACGUGAAGAGAUCAACACAAUACUUGAUGGAAUAUCAGAACCAGUAUAUGUUCAACGAGGUUCCAACAAGAGAGGGAGGUGAUGAAGAUGAUGCUACUGCUGUGCAUUCCUGAAUGUUCUUUGAGUUCAUAUUAAGAGAAAGAAAAAGUGCUCAUCACCUUUUCAUGCACUCUUACAGGUUCACUGCACAUGAGACUUGCAGACAGUACAUGGAUAAAAUCAUAUGGUUGUAGAAGGAGAGAGAUAGAUUUAAGGAUUUGGGGACCCUUGGGCUAUUCGUAGAUCUGGGAAGAUACUAUGAUGUCAGAUAAUUGAGGUAAAACCAAAUAAAGGAUGCAUGGAAGGAAGGAAAUAAUCAAGGGUUUGUUCAGAUAUCUGAGAGUUGUUAAGAUUUGUAUGUGUUUCUAUAGACAUUGAUACCGAACAUUCUAAUUAUCUUGUCCAGCAUGAUGUAAUGAAAUGAGGCUAAAGUUUUACCUUCACUGUGAAUCUGUGAUACCAGUUUCA